This 45-nucleotide non-coding RNA is filed under the name Schistosoma curassoni. The record is from RNAcentral. Lineage: Eukaryota; Metazoa; Platyhelminthes; Trematoda; Strigeidida; Schistosomatidae.
AAUUUGCUGACGAGUGCCAAAUAGCACAAAACCUAGGUCCAGGGU